AAUGCACCAUCUUGUAAGUCGCUCUGGAUAAGAGCGUCUGCUAAAUGACUUAAA
Molecule: non-coding RNA, 54 nt
Organism: Salmo salar (Atlantic salmon)
Lineage: Eukaryota; Metazoa; Chordata; Actinopteri; Salmoniformes; Salmonidae
Source: Rfam